Molecule: ribosomal RNA, 529 nt
Rfam family: Eukaryotic large subunit ribosomal RNA
GCUUCCAAGAGUCAAGUUGUUUGGGAUUGCAGCUUAAAAUGGGAGGUAAAUUUCUCCUAAGGCUAAAUAACGGCGAGAGACCGAUAGCGAACAAGUACCGUGAGGGAAAGAUGAAAAGAACUUUGAAAAGAGAGUUAAACAGUACGUGAAAUUGUUGAAAGGGAAACGAUUGAAGCCAGUCGUACCUGCGGGUAAUCAGCCUUUUGGGCAUGAUUCUGUGGAGCGUGAGGAGUUAAACGCCUUCAUGCCUGCAUAUUCGUGUACUUUGGGUGUACUUGCCUGUGUGGUUAGUUAACAUCAAUUUUGGUUAUCAUAAAAUGGUUGGAGGAAUGUAGCUUCGAUUUCGAUUGAAGUGUUAUAGCCUUCGGCAGAUGUGAUGAUCGGGAUUGAGGAUUGCAACGGAUACCCUUCGGGGCUACCUGCCUGAUCUCUGAUCGUUGCUCUGGUGCCGAAAGCGUGCUUACGGUUAUCAAAGUCGAUGGUUAAUAGGUUAGAAUGGGUUAAAUUCGUUAAGGAUGUUGACGUAAUG